RNAcentral lists this ribosomal RNA (503 nucleotides) under uncultured bacterium. RNAcentral describes it as "partial 16S ribosomal RNA". It matches the Rfam family "Bacterial small subunit ribosomal RNA", at positions 30 to 523 of the family's 1533-position model. The record is from RNAcentral.
AUUGAACGCUGGCGGCAGGCUUAACACAUGCAAGUCGAGCGGGGUGAUGGUGCUUGCACUAUCACUUAGCGGCGGACGGGUGAGUAAUGCUUAGGAAUCUGCCUAUUAGUGGGGGACAACAUCUCGAAAGGGAUGCUAAUACCGCAUACGUCCUACGGGAGAAAGCAGGGGAUCACUUGUGACCUUGCGCUAAUAGAUGAGCCUAAGUCGGAUUAGCUAGUUGGUGGGGUAAAGGCCUACCAAGGCGACGAUCUGUAGCGGGUCUGAGAGGAUGAUCAGCUACACUGGGACUGAGACACGGCCCAGACUCCUACGGGAGGCAGCAGUGGGGAAGAUUGGACAAUGGGGGGAACCCUGAUCCAGCCAUGCCGCGUGUGUGAAGAAGGCCUUAUGGUUGUAAAGCACUUUAAGCGAGGAGGAGGCUCUUUUGGUUAAUACCCAAGAUGAGUGGACGUUACUCGCAGAAUAAGCACCGGCUAACUCUGUGCCAGCCGCCGCUGUAA